This 955-nucleotide ribosomal RNA is filed under the name Dendrothrips eremicola. RNAcentral describes it as "partial 18S ribosomal RNA". It matches the Rfam family "Eukaryotic small subunit ribosomal RNA", at positions 1 to 1414 of the family's 1831-position model. Lineage: Eukaryota; Metazoa; Arthropoda; Insecta; Thysanoptera; Thripidae. The record is from RNAcentral.
UAUUUCGUAUGGUUUUUCCCCUCCCCCAAAAAAAAAAGCAAACUCCCAUGGAGAAGCGGCGGGAAUUAACUCACCCAAUCUGGGUGGGGUGGGUAGGAAGUCACCCGCUGAUUCCAGAUAGAAUAGCGUACAGUAAUGUCGUUGCGGUUAAAUAGAUGGUAAUCAGAUUCGUGUACCGUACGUUCGUUUCACCGACGGAUCGUAUCAACCUGAUGCGAUACGUCACGUCCCUCCGGUGUCUUGUCAACUGGGUGUGUUUCUCUUUCUCGUGUUUUCCUGGUCGCCUCGCUUUCACUCCGGUGCGGGUGUUUGUCCUUGACUGAGGAUUUGGCUCGCCCCGUUCAUUUUCAACAAACAGGAUUGUUCCCUGCAACUUGAUUGUUCCUGGACUAUUAGUCCAUGGAUGAUUGGAUGGAGCCUUGGGUUUUAUUUGGUUGGUUUUGUGACCCGGACGUAAUGAUUAAUGGGUACAGACAGGCGCAUUCAUAUUGGGACCUUCGAUGUGAGAUUCUUGCAUCGACGCCUGACAGACGGACCCGAAACCAUUUGCUUAGGAUGGAUGCGCUCAUCGAUCACGAACGUUAGGGGUAGGAACGGGAGCAGAUACCUCCUUACUUUUAACUAUACAGAAUGCCUGCUAGCUUUCCAGCUAGCGUUCUCUGAUGUUUUAACGUGCAGCUUCCGGGAAACCAAAGCUUUUGGGUUCCGGGGGAAGUAUGGUUGCAAAGCUGAAACUUAAAGGAAUUGACUGAAGGGCACCACCAGGAGUGGAGCCUGCGGCUUAAUUUGACUCAACACGGGAAACCUCACCAGGCCCGGACACUGGAAGGAUUGACAGAUUGAGAGCUCUUUCUGUGAUUCAGUGGGUGGUGGUGCAUGGCCGUCUUAGUACAUAGACAUCUGUGUCAUACAAACUACGAAAAAAAAAAAAAAAAAAGGGGGGAGGGAAGAGGAC